This 1500-nucleotide long non-coding RNA is filed under the name Macaca fascicularis (crab-eating macaque). Its description in RNAcentral is "lncRNA (ENSMFAG00000047836.1)". The record is from RNAcentral. Lineage: Eukaryota; Metazoa; Chordata; Mammalia; Primates; Cercopithecidae.
UUUUUUUUUUUUCUUUCACACAGAGUCUCGGCCUGUCUCCCAGGCUGGAGUGCAAUGGCACGAUCGCAGCUCACUGCAACUUCCACCUCCCGGGUUCAAGGAAUUCUCCUGCCUCAGCCUCCCAAGUAGCUGGGACUAGAGGUGCACGCCACCACACCUGGCUAAUUUUUGUUUUAUUGUUGUUGUUUUGAGACGGAGUCUCGCUCUGCCACCCAGGCUGGAGUGCAGUGGCGCGAUCUCAGCUCACUGCAAGCUCUGCCUCCUGGGUUCACCCCAUUCUCCUGACUCAGCCUCCCGAGUAGCUGGGACUGCAGGCACCCGCCACCACACCCAGCUAAUUUUUUGUAGUUUUAGUAGAGACGGGGUUUCACCGUGUUAGCCAGGAUGGUCUCGAUCUCCUCACCUUGUGAUCCGCCCGCCUCAGCCUCCCAAAGUGCUGGGAUUACAGGCAUGAGACACCGUGCCGGGUCAAUUUUUGUAUUUUCAGUAGAGACGGGGUUUCACUGUGUUAGUCAGGAUGGUCUCGAUCUCCUGACCUCAUGAUCUGCCUGCCUCGACCUCCCAAAGUGCUGGGAUGACAGGUGUGAGCCACGGCGCCCGGCCUCAUUCUGACGAGUUUGACUUUAGUUACUAUAACAACUCACUCAGUGCUUUCAUCAACUGCUAAAUCCCAUUUUACAUAGGAGGAAACUGAGUCUCAGAGAAGUUAAGUGACCUACUUAGGACCCCAUAGUUGCUAAGUAAACUUAGGAUUUUAUCCCAGGCAGUCUCACUCCAGGAGAUAUUCCCAUAACCUUACACCAUCAUACAGAAUCCAGUUAGGAUCUGCUCAGGUAGUGACAUUAGAUUGGACCUCCCCAUGAACCCGAGCUUGGAGCAAGGGGCAUCCACAUCCACUCCAAAAGUGGGUUUUGAGGACUGGGCACAGUGGCUCAUGCCUGUGAUCCCAGCACUUUGGGAGGCCAAGGUGCACGGAUCACCUGAGGUCAGGAUUUCAAGAUCAGCCUGGCCAACAUGAUGAAACCUCGUCUCUACUAAAAAGGAAAAAACUAGCUGGGUGUAGUGGCGCAUGCCUGUAAUCCCGGCUACUCAGGAGGCUGAGGCAGGAGAAUCACUUAACCAGGAGGCAGAGCUUGUGGUGAACUGAGCCCCUGCCACUGCACUCCAGCCUGGGUGACAGAGUGAGACUGCAUCUCAAAACAACAACAACAAAAAAGUGGGGUUUUCAAUCUCUUGCACCUGGCUUUCCCCUCAAAAGAAAUCCAGAGAUUUUAGUUAGCUAUUGCUGUGUAACAAAUUGCCCCGAAACUUCCUGGGCCAUUGACAUGAAUUGUUGAAACAAUGAAGAUUUAUUAUCUCACAGUUUCUGAUGGUCCAGAAUCAGGGGGCAGCUUUGUUGGUUCAACAUAGGGUCACUGAUGAAUAAUUAUUCAUGUUCCAGCCUCUUUUUUUUUUUUUUUUUGAGACAGGGUCUCAGACUCACAGGCUCAGUGACGUGGG